CGGGUGAGUAACGCGUGAGCAACCUGCCUAUGACAGUGGGAUAGCCUCGGGAAACCGGGAUUAAUACCGCAUAAAAUCGUAGAAACACAUGUUUCAACGGUCAAAGAUUUAUCGGUCAUAGAUGGGCUCGCGUCUGAUUAGCUAGUUGGUGAGAUAACAGCCCACCAAGGCGACGAUCAGUAGCCGGUCUGAGAGGAUGAACGGCCACAUUGGAACUGAGACACGGUCCAAACUCCUACGGGAGGCAGCAGCC
Molecule: ribosomal RNA, 253 nt
Filed under: uncultured Finegoldia sp.
Lineage: Bacteria; Bacillati; Bacillota; Tissierellia; Tissierellales; Peptoniphilaceae
Description: partial 16S ribosomal RNA
Rfam family: Bacterial small subunit ribosomal RNA
Source: RNAcentral